This 274-nucleotide ribosomal RNA is filed under the name uncultured bacterium. RNAcentral describes it as "partial 16S ribosomal RNA". It matches the Rfam family "Bacterial small subunit ribosomal RNA", at positions 523 to 796 of the family's 1533-position model. The record is from RNAcentral.
AUACGGAGGGUGCAAGCGUUAAUCGGAAUUACUGGGCGUAAAGCGUACGUAGGCGGUUUGUUAAGUCAGAUGUGAAAGCCCCGGGCUCAACCUGGGAACUGCAUUUGAAACUGGCAGGCUAGAGUAUGGUAGAGGGGGGUAGAAUUUCUGGUGUAGCGGUGAAAUGCGUAGAUAUCAGAAGGAAUACCGAUGGCGAAGGCAGCCCCCUGGACCAAUACUGACGCUGAGGUACGAAAGCGUGGGGAGCAAACAGGAUUAGAAACCCCAGUAGUCC